Molecule: ribosomal RNA, 2511 nt
Filed under: Triticum aestivum (bread wheat)
Lineage: Eukaryota; Viridiplantae; Streptophyta; Magnoliopsida; Poales; Poaceae
Description: partial small subunit ribosomal RNA
Source: RNAcentral
AUGGUUGGACGUGGGCUGCCGCAUGGCAAGCGAGGUCCGUCGACCGCCGUUGGAGCGGAUGCCGUUGUCGCUGCUGGUCGCGGCAAUCCAGCCGCCGCGGUGGCAGGGUCUAUCGGGGGCGGCCGCGCCGCUGCGCCCAUCGUCGCCGGUGGUGCUGCUGGACGCGGCGGGCCAACACCGCAACAGCAGCCUGGAACGGGUGCCGGCCGGGGUGCUCUCCUUCAACCGCGGCAAGGCCCAAUCACCGGAGCAGGUGUUGCUCCCCCCGCGCGACUAGGCCCGGUCACGGUUGCUCUAAGCUCGCAGGCACCUGUACAUGACGUGCAGCGGCAGGGCGAGCCGGUGCAGCAACCGGUGGCCAAGGUACCAGCUCUAGGACGAGGUCGUGGCGCUCAGGGCCGUGGUGGUUUCUAUGGUAACAACAGAGAUGGAUGGAAUGCUAACCGGCACGGGAGGUGGGGAGACGAUGGUUAUGAUUCAUAUGGAGAGGGGCUGCACCGUGGUUCUUCUUCCGGUGGCGGCCGUGGGCACAACUGGUACAAUGAUGGUGGUCCUGGACAGUUUCAGGGGCCGCCCCGUAAUUUUGUGGAAGGCGUUGCUGGACCCAACUAUCGCUUCUGGGGUGGAUAUCGGCGUGGUGGGAGAGGUAGAUGCCCACCUCCACCGCGCCAUAUCCCUCCGCCGCCACCGCCCGUUGCAGAUAUGGCUACGGGGGAGGAGCUUGAGCACACAGAGACGAAUUCAUCUACGCUGCCGGCGGCUGCGGCUGACGUGGUUACGGCUCUGGCAGUGGUGACAGUACCGGCGACAUCUGGAGCUUCAAAUCUCAGAGAGGGUACUUCUGACAAAGGGCCGGAGAAAGUGGAUGGAGAGAAACUAUCCAAGUGGGCAAUUAAGAAAAAGAAGUUGCCUUGCUUUAGAUGUGGCGAACUGGGUCACCUUAUGGCAGAGUGCACUAAUGAGCUUUGCGAUUAUUGCCUAAAAUCUCAGCACCUUACUGGAGAUUGCCCACUUCUAUCUGAUCCUAAACCUGGCAUUAGCAUUUUCGGUGUGUGUUGCAAGGAGCUGAUGUUUUUUGAGACUCCGGAAGUGGACUCGCUACCACAGAUGGCUGAGAGUUCCUUUCCCGCAGUUGUCCGGGUGACUAAUGGUCAGUUGUCUGAGGCUCAGAUUGUGAGACAGUUGCGUGACUUGGUACCAGGUAACCAUCCAUGGCAUCUGGAACAGUUAGAGGGACAGUCCUAUAAGGUGGAUUUUCCCACUAAAGAGGAUCAGAUGCAUUUUCUCAAGUGGGGCAUGUGUAGAGUCCCAAGCACCAACACUAUUAUUGCUUUUGAUGAAUGGAAGCGGGAGGAACCGGAGGAUAUACCUUUAGAGAAGGUGUGGGUUCGUUUCUUUGGUGUUCCACCAAAAUUGAUGAAGCAUUUUCUGAUUGCUUGGAGCUUGGGUAGGAUGAUUGGCAAGACUGAAAAAGUGGACAUGCCCUUUACUCGUGCGCAAGGGGCUGCACGGUUACUAGUCAGUGUCGCGAGUGUUGAACACAUUCCGGAUUUGGUUAGAUGGACAUAUGCUGGAGUCACAUAUAUUUUAGAGCUUGAGAUUGAGGAUACUCCGAUCUCCCAAGAUGGGGAUGAGCCUCAGGAUAUGGACACAACUGAGGGGGGUGGAGCGCCCGGGAAUCAGGAUAAGGGUGCUGACAAUUCUCAACGGGAGUCAGAGAAGGAGCCCGAUGCGCAACCAGAUAAGGCAGAUAGUUCUGCCCAACAGGCGCCACCGUCUACUACUCCGAUGACCACUCUUCGUUUUGGUUCGUUUGGUUCGAGUUCAGCUCCUAGUCGGCUUUGGAGUUCCAGAGUUGAGACUGACGACCCGACAGAGCUUGAGUUGCCUUCAAUCUUGAGUGUUUCCUGCGAGACGACAACUGCACUUGAGAGGCACGUUGACUGUGGUGAUGUCAUGAUGGCUUCCCCUCCGGCCGGGCUGGUUGCUACUCACGAGGUAGCUGUGAGUGGGGAGCCCGACCGGUCUUAUUCGGGAGGGGCACCUGGACAGGUGGUCUGUGCCUCUCCUCCCACCGUGACGGCGGGCCAGUUUUCUUUGGGCGGGACGCCUGGACAGGAGGUCCGUGGCUCCCCUCCCAUCUCGAUGGCGACGAUUCCUGAUGAGAGGGGGGUGAGGUGUGGGAAAGACACCCGUGCUGUAACCCCCUUGCAGGGUAUCGCCAUGCAGAGCGAGGAGUUGGGGGUGAUGUGCGAGAAGGAGUCCCGCGCCCUAACACCCCCACAGGACGGUGUCGUUCAAGGCGGCCAGGCCCUAUCCCCCUUCGGCUGGGAUCCGAUCCUCCAUGCCCUUCCCUUCUUCAUCGACGAUAGGGGAGGGGUGUGGGAGUCAGGAUUUUACUUCUCAGGAGAGGACCACAGAGGAGCUUAUCGCUUUUGGUGGGAUUGCGGAUCCGGUGUCGGCUGGCAGGCGUGUCAGCAAUCGGAUCCAGGGGCAGUCGGAUGCGGAUGA